This 468-nucleotide ribosomal RNA is filed under the name uncultured bacterium. RNAcentral's name for it is "partial 16S ribosomal RNA". It matches the Rfam family "Bacterial small subunit ribosomal RNA", at positions 29 to 523 of the family's 1533-position model. The record is from RNAcentral.
AACGAACGCUGGCGGCAGGCCUAACACAUGCAAGUCGAGCGAAGCCUUCGGGCUUAGCGGCGGACGGGUGAGUAACGCGUGGGAACGUUCCCUUUGCUGCGGGAUAGCCCCGGGAAACUGGGAGUAAUACCUUAUGUGCCCUUCGGGGGACUGACUAAUCGGAGGAGCCUGCUUCGGAUUAGCCAGUUGGUAGGGUAAAGGCCUACCAAGGCGACGAUCCGUCGCUGGUCUGAGAGGAUGAUCAGCCACACCGGAACUGAGACACGGUACGGACUCCUACGGGAGGCAGCAGUGGGGAAUAUUGCGCAAUGGGGGCAACCCUGACGCAGCCAUGCCGCGUGUGUGAAGAAGGCCUUCGGGUUGUAAAGCACUUUCAGAGGGGAGGAAAGGGCGCUGGCUAAUUUCCGGCGCAGUUGACGCUACCCUCAGAAGAAGCACCGGCUAAUUCCGUGCCAGCAGCCGCAGUAA